Molecule: non-coding RNA, 431 nt
Organism: Camellia sinensis
Lineage: Eukaryota; Viridiplantae; Streptophyta; Magnoliopsida; Ericales; Theaceae
Source: RefSeq, a predicted model, not a curated record
UUGAUUCAUUGCAUCUAUUGUUUGUUUAACAGAUAUGGCAAAUAAACGAUUUCGAACUUGCAAUAUUGAGAAUGAGUCACAGCUCAAGCGAUCAAAUGGCUCUUCAUAACCUAGCCAACAAAAUAAUUCUUCACAGCUUAACUCACCAAGAGGAACUUCACAACCUAGUCAGAGUUCUGUACUUAAGAGGAAUAGCAGAGGCGAGGAAAUAAGACAAUAUGGAAGCAUCAAACAAUGGACGCCAUUUCUCGAUUUGAGUACUAUUGUCAUGUGACAAGUUUAUAUGUACUUUUUAGAUUAUGGUGUGGCUAUUAGUUUGUUAGAAAUAUUUGAUCUAUUUUGGUAUGACAAGCUGAUGUAAUGAACCUUUUAAUUAAGGUGUUUUGGAUAAUUUGGGAUUAUGAAAAUGCAAAUGCUUUCACCUUUUACAA